UACGUAGGGUGCGAGCGUUGUCCGGAAUUAUUGGGCGUAAAGAGCUCGUAGGCGGUGUGUCACGUCGGCCGUGAAAACCUGCAGCUUAACUGUGGGCGUGCGGUCGAUACGGGCAUCACUGGAGUUCGGCAGGGGAGACUGGAAUUCCUGGUGUAGCGGUGAAAUGCGCAGAUAUCAGGAGGAACACCGGUGGCGAAGGCGGCCAUCUGGACCGCAACUGACGCUGAGGCGCGAAAGCGUGGGGAGCAAACAGG
Molecule: ribosomal RNA, 254 nt
Filed under: uncultured bacterium
Lineage: Bacteria
Description: partial 16S ribosomal RNA
Rfam family: Bacterial small subunit ribosomal RNA
Source: RNAcentral